AUUUAAACAUCCAUCAUAAUGCUGAUGUUCCAUUGUUCACAUGAAUUUCACUGCAUGGUUUCCUGAUUGGAGAAAAGCACAACUGAUAGCAGAAAAAGCAAAAAUGUUAAGAAAUUGUUGUGUAUCUAAUCAUCUGAUGAUUGCUGUGGCUUGAUCUUUACUUCUCUUCCCAGCCAAAAAAUGUUGAAGAUCUUUGCUUUUCUUCUCAGCAUAUCCAUUGACAAGAUUAUUUUACUAUAGUAUACUUAACUAUUAAAGGAGAAUACAGUUUUUUCUUUACAGAGUAGCGUUAGUCCUCAUUCUUUGCUAAAAACAAUUAUUCACCAGGAGCCCAAGCAAAAGGCAAGGCAGUCAGGAGGCAGCCUCAAAAGAAAGGACAUCGAAUCGGAUGAGGACUCUCCUCCAAGGAAAGCUGCAACCCAUCGUCGGAUGGCAAUUGUUUAUGAUAGUGAUGAGGAGUAAGACCAUGGUUUCAAGGUGUACAAGAUAAGCAUCAACGGACAAUGCAAUGUUCAGCCUCAUCUGGAACUUUCAUGCAGAUAUUAAGAUUCGCAGUUGUUCCAUUCUAAAAUGCUAUCAUGGUUUUGCUCAUAGAGUGUUCUUUGGUAACUUUAUUUCUUUUAAGCUAGGAAUUUUAUUCCAAUUUAUUUUUGUAUGUAACUAUAUUCUCGUCUCUGUUAAACUAUGGUUGAUUGUAGAACUGCAUUAUGGCUGGAAAGAACUGCAAAUUUCUUAUUUAUAAAAGUUAGCUGACAAUUGUUAAUGUUGA
This is a long non-coding RNA of Olea europaea var. sylvestris, 769 nucleotides long. RefSeq lists it as uncharacterized. NCBI's taxonomy places the organism in Eukaryota, Viridiplantae, Streptophyta, Magnoliopsida, Lamiales, Oleaceae. The record is from RefSeq and is a predicted model, not a curated record. The transcript is spliced from 2 exons.